UUUUCAUUUUCCCCUCCCUGACCUAGGCAUGAAGCUCUCUUUCCAGUAAUAUUGUCAUGCUUGAUGUUCAUCUGGAUAUAUGUGGAACAAGAAACCCUUCAACAGUCAGGUGUUUCCCGUAAACAGAAGCUCACUGGUAUGAAAUUUUCCUCUGAGACGGAUAUAGCACAGUUUCGAGGACUCUAUCUGGAUGACAUCCGCAGGGUCUUUUUCUUUGUUUUCUUCUUUGUGACAGCAUUUUUUGGAAUUGGAAAUGUAGCUUCUAUUAACAGGUAAUUUUAAAAGAAAAUUGUAUAUGUAUACGACAAAAAAUUCACAUAAUAACGUGGAAACAGUGAACAGUGAUUUUUAUUCUCACCCUUCC
Long non-coding RNA from Loxodonta africana (African savanna elephant), 364 nucleotides. RefSeq lists it as uncharacterized. Lineage: Eukaryota; Metazoa; Chordata; Mammalia; Proboscidea; Elephantidae. The transcript is spliced from 3 exons. The record is from RefSeq and is a predicted model, not a curated record.